CAGGAAACUCCAGAGAUGACCCAAGCCAUCACCUUAAAUACCAUCUCCAGCUAAAGACAAAAGAAAGCUGUUGGGGGUGAGGCUUCAGGUUGGCUAUGAGCUUCUCCAUUGAUAAUAUUCUCUUGUGAUUUGGAGCCAGCUUUCUUGUCCUGCUACAGAGAGGGACACACUCUUACAAAUGGAGACCCUCCUUAUAAAUGUAAAUUUUCCUUACAAAAGGGUCACUUCUACGCUGCUUUUUCAGAGCUCUUCCUGCAUUUGCAGUUUCUCAAAACAGUCCUUAUGCCAAAGAGGCAUUUUCUGCCGUGCUACCUCCGGAUGGGAAUGAUACACACGUACUGUGGGGUGUAUGAUGGGCUUGCAAUACUUGGGCAUUGUAGGACAAAUCCAUGCUCAGGGAAAGGAGACUCAAGUUCAAAUCCUGAUUUUUGUCAGUUCCUGGCUGUGUGAUCUUGGGCAGGUGUCUUGACAAAUACUACCUUAACAUCUAUCACAACCAGGGGGCUCCUUUCAAGUGGCAAGAGAAGGCUCUGGGUAUGGAAGGAGUAGAGAAAAGGGAACUCCUGCUGGGAGACAUGGCCUAUGCAAAGGCCCUGAGGUUGGAAACUCUCACACAGACAACCUGGAGGUGACGCCCUGGCUCAGGAACUCGAAAGCAGACCCAGGCCCGAGAGGCUGCUCAAUGCAGACGAGCCUGUUUGAAACCCAGGUUUGGCUUCUCCUCAGCUCUGUGAGCAGAGAGAGACAAUACAAGCAGGGAGGAGGUCAGAGGGAGAGGAAGAAGCAGACUUCCUGCCAAGUAGGGAGCCUGAUGUGGGGCUGGAUCCCAGGACCCUGAGAUCA
Molecule: long non-coding RNA, 843 nt
Filed under: Mustela putorius furo (domestic ferret)
Lineage: Eukaryota; Metazoa; Chordata; Mammalia; Carnivora; Mustelidae
Description: lncRNA (ENSMPUG00000028064.1)
Source: RNAcentral